UAAACUCUGGAGAGUCUCACAGAACGAGCGCCGAAGGUGUACGGUACAGCCUUGUACCAAUCUCUCAGGCAAAAGGACAGAUGA
This 84-nucleotide non-coding RNA is filed under the name uncultured Butyricicoccus sp. RNAcentral's name for it is "Glycine riboswitch". It matches the Rfam family "Glycine riboswitch aptamer", at positions 10 to 85 of the family's 94-position model. Rfam says of the family: This family represents the bacterial glycine riboswitch. Glycine riboswitches usually consist of two metabolite-binding aptamers domains with similar structures in tandem. Lineage: Bacteria; Bacillati; Bacillota; Clostridia; Eubacteriales; Butyricicoccaceae. The record is from RNAcentral.